RNAcentral lists this ribosomal RNA (253 nucleotides) under uncultured bacterium. RNAcentral's name for it is "partial 16S ribosomal RNA". It matches the Rfam family "Bacterial small subunit ribosomal RNA", at positions 524 to 776 of the family's 1533-position model. The record is from RNAcentral.
UACGUAGGGUGCAAGCGUUGUCCGGAAUUAUUGGGCGUAAAGAGCUCGUAGGCGGUUUGUCGCGUCUGCUGUGAAAACUCGGGGCUUAACUCCGGGCCUGCAGUGGGUACGGGCAGACUAGAGUGCGGUAGGGGAGACUGGAAUUCCUGGUGUAGCGGUGAAAUGCGCAGAUAUCAGGAGGAACACCGGUGGCGAAGGCGGGUCUCUGGGCCGUAACUGACGCUGAGGAGCGAAAGCGUGGGGAGCGAACCGG